UACGUAGGGUGCAAGCGUUGUUCGGAAUUACUGGGCGUAAAGGGCGCGUAGGCGGGCCCGUAUGUCGAUUGUGAAAGCCCUGGGCUCAACCUGGGAAUGGCAGUCGAAACUGCGGGUCUUGAGUGCCUGAGAGGAUGGCGGAAUUCCCGGUGUAGAAGUGAAAUUCGUAGAUAUCGGGAAGAACACCUGAGGCGAAGGCGGCUAUCUGGCGGUGCACUGACGCUAAGGCGCGAAAGCGUGGGGAGCAAACAGG
This 253-nucleotide ribosomal RNA is filed under the name uncultured bacterium. RNAcentral describes it as "partial 16S ribosomal RNA". It matches the Rfam family "Bacterial small subunit ribosomal RNA", at positions 524 to 776 of the family's 1533-position model. The record is from RNAcentral.